RNAcentral lists this unclassified non-coding RNA (352 nucleotides) under soil metagenome. RNAcentral's name for it is "partial contains 5.8S ribosomal RNA, internal transcribed spacer 2, and large subunit ribosomal RNA". The stretch from base 1 to 120 matches the Rfam family "5.8S ribosomal RNA", at positions 35 to 154 of the family's 154-position model. The record is from RNAcentral.
GAUGAAGAACGCAGUGAAAUGCGAUAAGUAAUGUGAAUUGCAGAAUUCAGUGAAUCAUCGAAUCUUUGAACGCACAUUGCGCCCGCCAGUAUUCUGGCGGGCAUGCCUGUUCGAGCGUCAUUACAACCCUCAGGCCCCCGGGCCUGGCGUUGGGGAUCGGCGGAGCCCCCCGUGGGCACACGCCGUCCCCCAAAUGCAGUGGCGGUCCCGCCGCAGCUUCCAUCGCGUGGUAGCUAACACCUCGCGACUGGAGAGCGGCGCGGCCACGCCGUAAAACACCCAACUCUUCUGAAGUUGACCUCGAAUCAGGUAGGAAUACCCGCUGAACUUAAGCAUAUCAAUAAGCGGAGGA